This 253-nucleotide ribosomal RNA is filed under the name uncultured bacterium. RNAcentral describes it as "partial 16S ribosomal RNA". It matches the Rfam family "Bacterial small subunit ribosomal RNA", at positions 524 to 776 of the family's 1533-position model. The record is from RNAcentral.
UACGAAGGGGGCUAGCGUUGUUCGGAAUCACUGGGCGUAAAGCGUAUGCAGGCGGAUCAUUCAGUCGGGAGUGAAAUCCUGAGGCUCAACCUCAGAACUGCCUUCGAUACUGAUGAUCUUGAGUCCGGGAGAGGUGAGUGGAACUGCGAGUGUAGAGGUGAAAUUCGUAGAUAUUCGCAAGAACACCAGUGGCGAAGGCGGCUCACUGGCCCGGUACUGACGCUGAGAUACGAAAGCGUGGGGAGCAAACAGG